This 703-nucleotide ribosomal RNA is filed under the name Lentilactobacillus buchneri. RNAcentral's name for it is "bacterial SSU rRNA". It matches the Rfam family "Bacterial small subunit ribosomal RNA", at positions 49 to 708 of the family's 1533-position model. Lineage: Bacteria; Bacillati; Bacillota; Bacilli; Lactobacillales; Lactobacillaceae. The record is from RNAcentral.
UAAUACAUGCAAGUCGAACGCGUCUCCGUUAAUGAUUUUAGGUGCUUGCACUUGAAAGAUUUAACAUUGAGACGAGUGGCGAACUGGUGAGUAACACGUGGGUAACCUGCCCUUGAAGUAGGGGAUAACACUUGGAAACAGGUGCUAAUACCGUAUAACAACCAAAACCACCUGGUUUUGGUUUAAAAGACGGCUUCGGCUGUCACUUUAGGAUGGACCCGCGGCGUAUUAGCUUGUUGGUAAGGUAACGGCUUACCAAGGCGAUGAUACGUAGCCGACCUGAGAGGGUAAUCGGCCACAUUGGGACUGAGACACGGCCCAAACUCCUACGGGAGGCAGCAGUAGGGAAUCUUCCACAAUGGACGAAAGUCUGAUGGAGCAACGCCGCGUGAGUGAUGAAGGGUUUCGGCUCGUAAAACUCUGUUGUUGGAGAAGAACAGGUGUCAGAGUAACUGUUGACAUCUUGACGGUAUCCAACCAGAAAGCCACGGCUAACUACGUGCCAGCAGCCGCGGUAAUACGUAGGUGGCAAGCGUUGUCCGGAUUUAUUGGGCGUAAAGCGAGCGCAGGCGGUUUUUUAGGUCUGAUGUGAAAGCCUUCGGCUUAACCGGAGAAGUGCAUCGGAAACCGGGAGACUUGAGUGCAGAAGAGGACAGUGGAACUCCAUGUGUAGCGGUGAAAUGCGUAGAUAUAUGGAAGAACA